GGACCGUACUAAGGUAGCAUAAUCAAUUGGCUUUUAAUUGGAGUCUGGAAUGAACGGGAAAUUGGAGUUUAACUUUCUUAAAUGAAUUUUAUUGAACUUACUAUAAAAGUGAAAAAGCUUUUUAAUGAAAAAAGACGAGAAGACCCUUGGAGCUUAGUAAAUUUUGUUGGGGCGACAUUAAAAAUGAAACUUUUAUAAUUUUAAUUAUCAACUUUUAGUUUUAAUUUAUAAGCUACCCAAGGGAUAACAGCAUAAUUCUUAUGAGAUUGUGACCUCGAUGUUGGACUAGGAAAGAUAAUAACUAGUAGUUAUUAUUUUAAUGUUCUGUUCGAACUUUAUUCUCCU
RNAcentral lists this ribosomal RNA (345 nucleotides) under Runcina sp. t AKA-2020. RNAcentral's name for it is "partial large subunit ribosomal RNA". The record is from RNAcentral. Lineage: Eukaryota; Metazoa; Mollusca; Gastropoda; Runcinacea; Runcinidae.